Molecule: ribosomal RNA, 582 nt
Filed under: Bradyrhizobium sp.
Lineage: Bacteria; Pseudomonadati; Pseudomonadota; Alphaproteobacteria; Hyphomicrobiales; Nitrobacteraceae
Description: bacterial SSU rRNA
Rfam family: Bacterial small subunit ribosomal RNA
Source: RNAcentral
GGGGCCCGCACAAGCGGUGGAGCAUGUGGUUUAAUUCGACGCAACGCGCAGAACCUUACCAGCCCUUGACAUGUCCAGGACCGGUCGCAGAGACGUGACCUUCUCUUCGGAGCCUGGAACACAGGUGCUGCAUGGCUGUCGUCAGCUCGUGUCGUGAGAUGUUGGGUUAAGUCCCGCAACGAGCGCAACCCCCGUCCUUAGUUGCUACCAUUUAGUUGAGCACUCUAAGGAGACUGCCGGUGAUAAGCCGCGAGGAAGGUGGGGAUGACGUCAAGUCCUCAUGGCCCUUACGGGCUGGGCUACACACGUGCUACAAUGGCGGUGACAGUGGGAUGCGAAGACGCAAGUCCUAGCAAAUCUCAAAAAGCCGUCUCAGUUCGGAUUGGGCUCUGCAACUCGAGCCCAUGAAGUUGGAAUCGCUAGUAAUCGUGGAUCAGCACGCCACGGUGAAUACGUUCCCGGGCCUUGUACACACCGCCCGUCACACCAUGGGAGUUGGCUUUACCUGAAGACGGUGCGCUAACCAGCAAUGGAGGCAGCCGGCCACGGUAGGGUCAGCGACUGGGGUGAAGUCGUAACAAG